UAGGGAAUCUUCCGCAAUGGGCGAAAGCCUGACGGAGCAACGCCGCGUGAGUGAUGAAGGUCUUCGGAUCGUAAAACUCUGUUAUUAGGGAAGAACAAAUGUGUAAGUAACUAUGCACGUCUUGACGGUACCUAAUCAGAAAGCCACGGCUAACUACGUGCCAGCAGCCGCGGUAAUACGUAGGUGGCAAGCGUUAUCCGGAGUUAUUGGGGGUAAAGCGGGCGUAGGCGGUUUUUUAAGUCUGAUGUGAAAGCCCACGGCUCAACCGUAGAGGGUCAUUGGAAACUGGAAAACUUGAGUGCAGAAGAGGAAAGUGGAAUUCCAUGUGUAGCGGUGAAAUGCGCAGAGAUAUGGAGGUACACCAGUGGCGAAGGCGACUUUCUGGUCUGUAACUGACGCUGAUGUGCGAAAGCGUGGGGAUCAAACAGG
RNAcentral lists this ribosomal RNA (429 nucleotides) under Actinomycetes bacterium. RNAcentral describes it as "Actinobacteria bacterium partial 16S ribosomal RNA". It matches the Rfam family "Bacterial small subunit ribosomal RNA", at positions 355 to 776 of the family's 1533-position model. Lineage: Bacteria; Bacillati; Actinomycetota; Actinomycetes. The record is from RNAcentral.